AGCUCACUGUGGAACAACCCAGAGACAAAGCAGCCGUCUCCCCGACGUCUUGCUUCUCCGUCUUGACUGGAGUGGAGAUGGGCUGCCAGGCUUUGCUGAGGAGGCACGACCCGCCAGAGGCCAAGGCUCCUGGAGAUGCACUG
RNAcentral lists this long non-coding RNA (143 nucleotides) under Ictidomys tridecemlineatus (thirteen-lined ground squirrel). Its description in RNAcentral is "lncRNA (ENSSTOG00000032097.1)". Lineage: Eukaryota; Metazoa; Chordata; Mammalia; Rodentia; Sciuridae. The record is from RNAcentral.